UAGGGGAUAUUGCGCAAUGGGUGAAAGCCUGACGCAGCAACGCCGCGUGGGGGAUGACGGCCUUCGGGUUGUAAACCCCUUUUCUCAGGGAAGAUUAUGACGGUACCUGAGGAAUAAGUCUCGGCUAACUACGUGCCAGCAGCCGCGGUAAGACGUAGGAGGCGAGCGUUAUCCGGAAUUACUGGGCGUAAAGGGCGUGUAGGCGGCUCGUUAAGUCUCUGGUGAAAUCUCCCGGCUUAACUGGGAGGGUAUCAGAGAUACUGGCGGGCUUGAGGGCAGCAGAGGGGAGUGGAAUUCCCGGUGUAGUGGUGAUAUGCGUAGAUAUCGGGAGGAACACCUGUGGCGAAAGCGGCUCUCUGGGCUGUUCCUGACGCUGAGGCGCGAAAGCGUGGGGAGCAAACAGGAUUAGAUACCCUGGUAGUCCACGCCACAAACGAUGGACACUAGGUAUGGGGGGUAUCGACCCCUUCCGUGCCGAAGCUAACGCUUUAAGUGUCCCGCCUGGGGAUUACGGCCGCAAGACUA
This 525-nucleotide ribosomal RNA is filed under the name uncultured bacterium. RNAcentral describes it as "bacterial SSU rRNA". It matches the Rfam family "Bacterial small subunit ribosomal RNA", at positions 355 to 896 of the family's 1533-position model. The record is from RNAcentral.